This 202-nucleotide unclassified non-coding RNA is filed under the name Hevea brasiliensis (rubber tree). Lineage: Eukaryota; Viridiplantae; Streptophyta; Magnoliopsida; Malpighiales; Euphorbiaceae. The record is from RNAcentral.
GUGCCAUUAGCAUAGUUGAGCACAAGCUGGCCACCAUCUGUUAGACUAAUAGUUGAUCUUAUUUCAGCUGGAUUGUCGCGAUUUGCUGACCAGACAAGUGGUGUUUCCUGGAUUUUGUUAAACCAAAUUCCAACUAGGAAUAGGGUAUCUGAAACAGGAUAAAAUCCGAAGGCAAAGUCCCCAGACAAUGAUAACAAAAAAC